CAGCCGCCACGGGAAUACGUAGGUGGCAAGCGUUGUCCGGAAUUAUUGGGCGUAAAGGGCUCGCAGGCGGUUUCUUAAGUCUGAUGUGAAAGCCCCCGGCUCAACCGGGGAGGGUCAUUGGAAACUGGGAAACUUGAGUGCAGAAGAGGAGAGUGGAAUUCCACGUGUAGCGGUGAAAUGCGCAGAGAUGUGGAGGAACACCAGUGGCAAAGGCGACUCUCUGGUCUGUAACUGACGCUGAGGAGCGAAAGCGUGGGGAGCGAACAGGAUUAGAUACCCCAGUAGUCCCUGUCUCUUAUAC
RNAcentral lists this ribosomal RNA (301 nucleotides) under uncultured bacterium. Its description in RNAcentral is "partial 16S ribosomal RNA". It matches the Rfam family "Bacterial small subunit ribosomal RNA", at positions 509 to 807 of the family's 1533-position model. The record is from RNAcentral.